UAUGUAUCCCUUAGUCCGAAAAAGCUUGUCCCAAACUUGUCUCUCAAAUGGAUGUAUCUAGCACUAACUUCAUGCUAGAUACAUCCAUUUGAGGGACAAUUUUUUCGGACGGAGGGAGUACUAU
Non-coding RNA from Triticum aestivum (bread wheat), 124 nucleotides. NCBI's taxonomy places the organism in Eukaryota, Viridiplantae, Streptophyta, Magnoliopsida, Poales, Poaceae. The record is from Rfam.